UUGUAAUACUGACGUUAUUAUACAUCGGAUUCAGAUGAAAAUUGGUACACGAGAGUUUCGAUUGACAAGCAAUCGAUUCCAGGUAUCGAAUUCAGUAUAAGGGGUCGUCCAUAUCAACUUUUCAAUGUUUCUGUGAUAUUGAUGUCAUUAUUUAUCGGAUUGAGAAGAAAAUUUGCGCUCGGAUAUUUCUAGGAACACACAAUCGAUUGCCGGUAUCAAAUUUUGUAUAAGUGGCAGGUCAAAGGAGUCGUCCAUAUUAACUGUUCGCUAUUUUUUCGAUAUUGACUUUAUUAUACAUCGGAUUCAGAUGAAAAUUGGUACACGAGAAUUUUCAAUAAACGAAAAACGAUUUCAGGUAUCAAAUUUUGUGUAAGGGACAGGCAAAAAGGGUCAUCCAUAUUACCUUUUCAAUUUUUUUUGUGAAACUGACCUUAUUAUACAUCGGAUUGAGAUGCAAAUUUGCAUAUAGAAAUAAUAAAAGACGAACAAUUGAUUCCAAUUAUCCAAUUUUGGGUCAGGGGGCGGCCAAAGAGGACGUCCAUAUUAACAAUUCACCGUUUUUUUGCGAUAUUGACGUUAUUAUGCAACGGAUCGGUUUAAAAAUUUGCACACGGUGUCUUGGUGCACGGUGUCUGCGCUUUAGUGUUCCAGUGUUGAUUUGUAAGCAUCUUUUGAAUGAAAAAUUAUGUUAUAAGGAUUUGUCAUCAAAAAUUAAUGAUCAUUUAUCAGUUAUUGACUUAGCGAAUUUAUAUCAUAAAUAAAUAAUUGGUCUAUUAAGUCAGUUUCACAAUCAUGGCUUACAUCUAGUUGAAGGCACUGUUAGCUCAGAUACUCGCGUGUACAAAUUCGUUGUCAAUUACACAAUACAAAGAAGGUUCCCUAAUCGCUUUGCGACACAUCUAAACUAUUAUGAUCAUUUAAAAGCUGUCGGAUAUCACUGCAUUUGUCGCAAUAGAAUGACUUUUCAAUCACUUAAAUUACCAGUUAUUGUUACUGUAAAAGAUGUACACACACUGAUGACUGUAAAGUCUAAAGAAUUUACAAAUAGUACACGAAUGUCCAAUAGAAUAUAUUAAAGAUAAGGAAGCAGAUGGGAAACACGAAUCGGGAACGUUUGUCUAUCCAGAUGGCUAUCUCUUGCGGUGUCAUCGUGGUCCAACCGGUUUUGUCGGUCGUUUUGCUUGGGUCACCGGAUGCGUCAUCAAUUUUGAUGGCAAUAUUUCCGUUACGAUUAUCCAAGGUGUCGUCGUUCGAGGUGGUAAUGAUUGGGAGUGCCGAGUUUGAUUUCGAUGGAAAAGACUGCAAAAGUAAAAAAAAUUUGUAGAGAAUAUUUUUUAAGAUUAUUUUGAAGCUUAUUUCGAACAUAUUUACAUGAACUGUUAGAUAAUUGUUGUAGGAGUUCGCUGCAGUUAUGGUGGCUUGCCCAUCCAAACUGGUGCAUGAAUGAGAUUUUUGCAGUCCUCCCAUUUCCUUGCGCGAUGGAAGAGGCGUGAGCGAUUUGAAAAUGUAUUUGCUAUUCUUUUUCUUCAGUUCGACAUUCUUUUUCCUCCUCCAAAUGGUGUUCACAAAUGCAAACUCUACCAAGCUACCGAAGAUGAAACCCGUGCAUCCGAGGAACCAUAUUUCGGACGCUUUGAUGUAGCUGACUUUGGGCAGUGUUUUGCCCUGAGCCGAAGCCAGAGUAAUGAAGGUCAACAUAGUGCUGGUACCGAGGGUGAUUCGGGGCGCUGACUGAUCAGCCUGGAGCCAAAAGGUGACCCAUGAGAUAGCUACCAACAUACAAGACGGGAUGAAGUAGUCCAUCAAAUAGAAGCCCAUCUCUCGAGCCAAGUGCACGGUGAAGCUUAGGGAGCUGUAAUUGCCAGCUGAAAUAUUCAGAGUAAUGUUGAAUCUUUUUGAGUAUGUCGGACAAAAAAUUGAGGCUUACCAAAUGAACCAUGUCGUAGAUCACUAAGAUCAGCAUUAAUAACGGUUUCGUUCGUGAACAUUUCCAGCAAAACGUAUUCAGUCAGAUGCAACUCCGGGGCCAAGGUCACUGGAGAUUUUGAUUCCCACUUCAAGGUUAAGUGUGUCGUAUUCAACAUCCCUAAAAAUGAAAAGGGUAAAUUAUGACCUUCUUAAACCAAACUAAUCCAACUCCAAUCUUACAGCUUUCUAAAAUCGUCGAACAAUGCUGCUCGUCGAAGGGAAAUUUCUGCAAGUUCAUCCAACAGUACAGCGUGGCACUGAUUCGUGUCGAAAUUAUAACCGUUCCGUCGGGACUAAUCGACGUGAGGAUAUCCUUUUCAGCCGUUCCGAGAAUAUCCGAGCUCCGUUCGUUCGCGAGGAAGACAUGUGGCACCCACAGCAGAUCCCGAAGCGAUUGUUCACCCAUUAUGGGUUCCGUUUUGGUGGGAGCUACCUUGCCAAAGACUAGCCGAGGAUCAACGUAACGGAGCUGCAGUAGCGCAUGAAUUUUGAAUUGCUGAAAUUGGAGAAAAAAUCAAACGGAUAACAAAUGUAAAACAAAAGUAAUACUUUCAAUAAUUUUGAAUAUUUACUAAAUCGUGGGCUUCCAGGUUCUGCAUAAAGUAUAUGUAAGCUCGAGCAUAAACUUCAACUGGAGGUUUGGAUCCGUUUGCCAAAGCUGCAAAUAUAUUAAAAAAAAAAAAUUAAAAUAUAGUUUUUUUUGUUAUAUAUUUUUGUUUAUGGUUUUUGAUAUUAACGAUGGACUGAGUAGGAUAAUAUACUAGAAGUAAUUAAGUAAGUUAAUAAAAUAAAAAAUGCAAAAUCAAAAAGUUAAAUUUAAUGCAAUAUUUGUCUGUUGGUAACCCUAUGCACUGUUGGUCUGAAAUCUGAAAAAAAGCCUGCAAAUCACGACAAACUGCUUUGGCUUUUUUUCUUGGGAUUUUCAUCCAAUAGGAUGAUUCAUCCCUUAAACUGCUUUGGCGAUUUUAAGUACUCCAUAAGUAUUCCGCAGAAAGUCGCCGAAUUGGUCUCACAUUAAAUUCUUUUAUCGUUCGAUGAGCAAACGCAACACCGAUAUGCCAUCAGAUCAAGAGUUUGUAAAUCUGGAAUCCACGAUCAUAGUUUAAAACUCAAGUGCAGCCCACUGCAGCAGUGAAAUUUAACCAAGUGUCAUCCUAUGCAGCGACGCCGCGGCCGAUCGUUGAUCAUGGUUGCCAGAAUCGUUAACAAUAUUAAUAGGGAAUACAACGAAAAUGUCGAGGAGCAAUCGCUUGAGUUAGCUUGCCGAAUUUACAUGAGCCAACAUGACCAAUAUGAACCUAUCUUCGAUGGUCUUGGCCGCUCGAAAGACGAUUGGAUUCAGCAGCUCAUCCCAAUUAGGGUUGGUACACCUUCUUUAAACCUAUAAAAUUCAAAAAAUUAAUUUUGUUUCUUCUGUUUUAUUUUCAGUAAUGACGUAUACGCUACAAUAGUCUUGUUGAUUUUAAGAUUCAAAUCCUUUUGGUUUAAUUACGCAAAAUUUCAUUAUUUUUUUUCAUUUUGAAUCUUAACGUAGCAUUGGAAUACUAUUAUUUCUGAAGAAUUUGAAUCAAAACUCAAUAAUUCUAGAUUUCAGCUAACUCUGAAGCUUUUUUUUUCUAUAUUAUGAAUUCAAAAGCUCUCCAGAAAAUUUAAAUGAUUUCGAGAAAACUGUAUAGCGAAUUCAAUCAAUUGUACAUAUGGUCGAUAAAAUGAACAUCAAUACGAAAUUCUUGAUCGAGAAACAUUUAAGGCCUACAGAUGUAAAGAAACAAUAACUAAUAUUCCGUUUGCAGUGAGUUACCUGGAGGUAAUAAACAAAUAAUUUGAG
This is a long non-coding RNA of Uranotaenia lowii, 3796 nucleotides long. RefSeq lists it as uncharacterized. The record is from RefSeq and is a predicted model, not a curated record. The transcript has 2 exons. Lineage: Eukaryota; Metazoa; Arthropoda; Insecta; Diptera; Culicidae.